This 349-nucleotide unclassified non-coding RNA is filed under the name fungal sp. Its description in RNAcentral is "partial internal transcribed spacer region". The stretch from base 1 to 46 matches the Rfam family "Eukaryotic small subunit ribosomal RNA", at positions 1786 to 1831 of the family's 1831-position model. Lineage: Eukaryota; Fungi. The record is from RNAcentral.
AAGUCGUAACAAGGUUUCCGUAGGUGAACCUGCGGAAGGAUCAUUAACACGUUAUCCACGUAUCUACCUCUUGCGAACUUUUUACUGUUCAGGAGUCGACAGACCAGCGGUAGGUAGAUGUUACUAUGUCCAGGUGGCCGACGCCCCUGGUUCUACCUGCCCCCUAGCCCUAGCCAACGGUGUGGCUUGGGUUUUCUGGUUCGUAUGACUCGAAUCAUAGUAGUUUUUAUUCUUAUUCACCCUUUUUUACUAAAUUUGUUGAAUUGUGAUGGUCUCGGAGGUAACACUUCGUAGCACUCACGUAAAUAAAACACUAUACAACUCUUAGCAACGGAUAUCUCGGUUCUCC